GCUGGGCAUAGUGGCGUAUGCCUGUAAUCCCAGCACUUUGGGAGGCUGAGGCAGGUGAAUCAUUCGAGGUCAGGAGUUUGAGACCAGCCUGACCAACAUGGUGAAACCCUGCCUCUA
Molecule: unclassified non-coding RNA, 117 nt
Organism: Callithrix jacchus (white-tufted-ear marmoset)
Lineage: Eukaryota; Metazoa; Chordata; Mammalia; Primates; Cebidae
Rfam family: Metazoan signal recognition particle RNA
About the family: The signal recognition particle (SRP) is a universally conserved ribonucleoprotein. It is involved in the co-translational targeting of proteins to membranes.
Source: Ensembl